GGUCACAACGGUAGCAUCGGAAUCUGCAUUCUCUACAAGUGGUAGAAUCCUUAGCCCUCAUUGUAGUAGGCUCGCACCAAAGAUGGUUGAAGCUAUAAUGUGUAUGCAGGCUUGGUCUAAUGCUGACAUGCUAGGUGAGAACAAUUCGUCACUCUCUACUGAGUUUCAAACUUGUCUAGACGAUGAUGAUGAACCAAUGGAUGAGGAACUCUCCACUUGCAAUAACUAUUAGGCUUGCUGCUUGCGGCUUGGCUCCAUGGAGUCAAGAAUGAAAAAAAUGGAGGACCGA
Triticum aestivum (bread wheat) is the source of this 289-nucleotide long non-coding RNA. RefSeq lists it as uncharacterized. The record is from RefSeq and is a predicted model, not a curated record. Lineage: Eukaryota; Viridiplantae; Streptophyta; Magnoliopsida; Poales; Poaceae. The transcript has 3 exons.